GCACAUGCAGACCAGAGGCAGACUGGAUUCCUUGGUCGGGCAGAGUUUUACAAUGCCCUUAGACUUGUCACUGUGGCACAAAGUAAGAGAGAACUUACGCCAGAAAUGGUGAAGGCAGCAUUAUAUGGCCCGGCUGCAGCUAAAAUACCUGCACCCAAGAUAAAUCUUGCAGCGACUCCUGCCCCUCAGUUCAAUUCUGCUGCAACAGCACCUGCCACUCAGGGUGGUGCUGUCACUCCGACGUCCUCGCAAAAUCUUGGGUUCAGGGGACUGCAAGUAACACCUCAGUAUAGUUCUUUUGGAGCAGCACCUGCCACUCAGGGUGGUGCUGUCACUCCAACAGCCUCCCAAGAUUUUGAGUUCAGGGGACCACAAAUACGAUCUCAGUUUAAUUCUGCUCCAACAGCGACUGAGGGUGGUGCUGUUACUCCAACAGCGACUCAGGGUGGUGCUGUU
This 456-nucleotide long non-coding RNA is filed under the name Malus domestica (apple). RNAcentral describes it as "long non-coding RNA (MDOM_LNC004903)". Lineage: Eukaryota; Viridiplantae; Streptophyta; Magnoliopsida; Rosales; Rosaceae. The record is from RNAcentral.